UGUAGGAGCUGGCUUGCCAGCGAUAGCGGUGGGUCAGCCAAUGAAUUUAUUGACUGGCAAUCCGUCAUCGCUGGCAAGCCAGCUCCUACA
Molecule: unclassified non-coding RNA, 90 nt
Filed under: Pseudomonas brenneri
Lineage: Bacteria; Pseudomonadati; Pseudomonadota; Gammaproteobacteria; Pseudomonadales; Pseudomonadaceae
Source: RNAcentral